RNAcentral lists this ribosomal RNA (612 nucleotides) under Bacillus sp. DJJH26. RNAcentral describes it as "bacterial SSU rRNA". It matches the Rfam family "Bacterial small subunit ribosomal RNA", at positions 402 to 1007 of the family's 1533-position model. Lineage: Bacteria; Bacillati; Bacillota; Bacilli; Caryophanales; Bacillaceae. The record is from RNAcentral.
UGAGCGAUGAAGGCCUUCGGGUCGUAAAGCUCUGUUGUUAGAGAAGAACAAGUACGAGAGUAACUGCUCGUACCUUGACGGUACCUAACCAGAAAGCCACGGCUAACUACGUGCCAGCAGCCGCGGUAAUACGUAGGUGGCAAGCGUUAUCCGGAAUUAUUGGGCGUAAAGCGCGCGCAGGCGGUCUCUUAAGUCUGAUGUGAAAGCCCACGGCUCAACCGUGGAGGGUCAUUGGAAACUGGGAGACUUGAGUGCAGGAGAGAAAAGUGGAAUUCCACGUGUAGCGGUGAAAUGCGUAGAGAUGUGGAGGAACACCAGUGGCGAAGGCGGCUUUUUGGCCUGUAACUGACGCUGAGGCGCGAAAGCGUGGGGAGCAAACAGGAUUAGAUACCCUGGUAGUCCACGCCGUAAACGAUGAGUGCUAGGUGUUGGGGGGUUCCACCCUCAGUGCUGAAGUUAACACAUUAAGCACUCCGCCUGGGGAGUACGACCGCAAGGUUGAAACUCAAAGGAAUUGACGGGGGCCCGCACAAGCAGUGGAGCAUGUGGUUUAAUUCGAAGCAACGCGAAGAACCUUACCAGGUCUUGACAUCCUCUGACCACUCUAGAGAU